UCCCUGGAAGACUAGUGGUUAGGCCACGGCACUCUUACUGCUGAGGCCUGGGUUCGAUUCCCAGCCAGGGAA
Pangasianodon hypophthalmus (striped catfish) is the source of this 72-nucleotide non-coding RNA. The record is from the annotation of a RefSeq genome assembly. Lineage: Eukaryota; Metazoa; Chordata; Actinopteri; Siluriformes; Pangasiidae.